RNAcentral lists this ribosomal RNA (425 nucleotides) under Microglyphis japonica. Its description in RNAcentral is "partial 16S rRNA". It matches the Rfam family "Archaeal large subunit ribosomal RNA", at positions 1920 to 2665 of the family's 2987-position model. Lineage: Eukaryota; Metazoa; Mollusca; Gastropoda; Ringiculidae. The record is from RNAcentral.
AGUCUAGAGUAUUUAUUCUAGAUGUAGCCUGCCCAGUGUGUAUAUUAACGGCCGCGGUACUCUGACCGUGCUAAGGUAGCGUAAUAAGUUGGCUUUUAAUUGAAGUCAGGUAUGAAUGGUUUAAUGGGGUUUAGCUGUCCUUAACUAUUUUAUUUAACUUACUUUUUAGGUGAAAAAGCCUAAAUUAGUCCAAGGGACGAGAAGACCCUUAGAGCUUUACCGUAUGUGUGAAUGUUAGCGGUUAUUGUUGGGGCGACAUAGGAAUAGAUCUUCCUUUAAUUUACAAGCCGAUGCUUUAUAAGUUAGAUUAGCUACCUUAGGGAUAACAGCAUAAUAUUAUAAUUAAGCUUGUGACCUCGAUGUUGGAUUAGGGAUUUUUUUAAUUAGAAGUUAAAAAACUAUGUUCUGUUCGAACAUUAUUCCCU